GAUGAACGCUGGCGGCGUGCCUAAUACAUGCAAGUCGAGCGAACAGACGAGGAGCUUGCUCCUCUGACGUUAGCGGCGGACGGGUGAGUAACACGUGGAUAACCUACCUAUAAGACUGGGAUAACUUCGGGAAACCGGAGCUAAUACCGGAUAAUAUAUUGAACCGCAUAGUUCAAUAGUGAAAGUCGGUUUUGCUGUCACGUAUAGAUGGAUCCGCGCCGCAUUAGCUAGUUGGUAGGGUAACGGCUUACCAAGGCAACGAUGCGUAGCCGAACUGAGAGGGUGAUAGGCCACAUGGGAGCUGAGACACGGUCAAGACUCCUACGAGAGGCAGCAGACGGGAAUCUUCCGCAAUGGGCGGAAGCAUGACGGAGCAACGCGGCGUGAGUGAUGAAGGUCUUCGGAUCGUAAAACUCUGUUAUUAGGGAAGAACAAAUGUGUAAGUAGAUAUGGACGUCUUGACGGUACCUAGUCAGAAAGCCACGGCUAACUACGUG
RNAcentral lists this ribosomal RNA (497 nucleotides) under uncultured bacterium. Its description in RNAcentral is "partial 16S ribosomal RNA". It matches the Rfam family "Bacterial small subunit ribosomal RNA", at positions 28 to 507 of the family's 1533-position model. The record is from RNAcentral.